AUGAAUUAGUUAUUUUAAUAUCUGAAAAAAUUUUAGGAUAAACUUCAAAUACCGCCUCUGCGGUUUCACACUUUUUCACUUUAGUGUUCUAUGGUUUAAUUAAAGUGUAUCAAUUUACUACCCUAUGGUUUCAUUUUUCUCUUUUCGCCAGCUCCUUCUCUAAUAUUUAGUUAAAUUAUAUACAAAAAAUUUCAUAUACCCCACCUAAGUUUAUCGAAUAUUCACUUUAAUACCUUUUAGUUUUAACUUUGUUACUGAUUUAAUGAAAAAAAUAUUAGUUGAGGAGAUAACAAGAAAAAAAAAAUGAAAUCAUGGGGUAUGAAAGUUAUACACUUUAAAUCAUAGAAUACUAAAAUAAAAAAGUAUAAAACCAUAGUGGUGGUAUUUGAAAUUUUUUUCAAAUUUUAUGAUUACCUAUUCUUUUGUUUAUAUUUUAAACUGCACGUGCAUGAAUCAGUCAAAAUGCUCGAUACGAAAUUAUUUAUGUGCGACGCCCCACUUCCUAGAUAGGGGGGUCAUCCAUCUGCAACUAAUGUAAUUUUUACACGAUUAAUUGUCUUAACUACUUGGGCUUAACCACCGUCCAAAAUAUUACAACUCAGUCAAAAUAUUUAGUCCUAUUAUAUCUUACAUUUAGGACCAAUCCAAAUCCUGAAACGUCAUAUUUGUUGCUCCUUUAACUCUGACGUUCUCGUCAGGUUCAAAUACACUCAAAGCAUCGGGCGAUGUGAGACUGAUCUCCCUAGCCUUAGUAGACCUUAUGGGGAGCCAUGUUUUGCCGUUUUUACGAUCCUAUCUCAGCCGAAACUCAUCUCACACUCUUAAUUGUUGAUUGGUAUGGCUCCAUUGUAUAGCUAGCUCUACCCGCUAUAUGACUCUAACUCAGUUGAAACUAUCCGCUAUAUGAUUCUAACUGAGUCGAAACUUAUCUCAUACUCUCGAUUAAUGAUUGAUUCUGAUACCAACUAUGACACCCAUCUUAAAUUACUCUAAUCUGAAUACGCUUAAUCAUUAUAUACAUAUGGUUAUUCUAAAACCUGAUCGAGGCGUCAUAUUAUGUCAAUACAUCAACAGCCUACAACAUGAAUAUUUUGAAGAGCUCCCU
Molecule: long non-coding RNA, 1105 nt
Filed under: Ananas comosus (pineapple)
Lineage: Eukaryota; Viridiplantae; Streptophyta; Magnoliopsida; Poales; Bromeliaceae
Description: long non-coding RNA (ACOM_LNC009649)
Source: RNAcentral